GAAAUGCGAUAAGUAAUGUGAAUUGCAGAAUUCAGUGAAUCAUCGAAUCUUUGAACGCACCUUGCGCUCCUUGGUAUUCCUUGGAGCAUGCCUGUUUGAGUAUCAUGAAAUCUUCAAAGUAAAUCUUUUGUUAACUCAAUUGGUUUCUACUUUGGUAUUGGAGGUCUUUGCAGCUUCACACCUGCUCCUCUUUGUUCAUUAGCUGGAUCUCAGUGUUAUGCUUGGUUCCACUCGGCGUGAUAAGUUAUCUAUCGCUGAGGACACUGUAAAAGGUGGCCAAGGUAAAUGCAGAUGAACCGCUUCUAAUAGUCCUUUGACUUGGACAAUACUUUUAUGAUCUGAUCUCAAAUCAGGUAGGACUACCCGCUGAACUUAAGC
Molecule: unclassified non-coding RNA, 378 nt
Filed under: plant metagenome
Description: partial contains 5.8S ribosomal RNA, internal transcribed spacer 2, and large subunit ribosomal RNA
Rfam family: 5.8S ribosomal RNA (bases 1-105)
Source: RNAcentral